AAGAAAUCUUGAGUGCCGCAUAUGGAGAAAAGUAUGUUUCGUUAAAGGCUAACGUGAAUGAUGGAAAACAUGCCAUAUCGGAAAUGCCAGCAACGGAAGCAACCAAAUUAAGGAAGCCUGAUGUUUCAUUGGAUGAUAUAGGUUUUGACGAUGAAGAAGCAAAACAUAGCUGUUUCCCGGAUCCAAUUAAAAUAGUUAAAAGUAUUAUUGGCGCUGCGUAUGAUUUAUUCGUCUCAAAUAGAGUGUGAAGAUUUUACCAAGUGAUACAAAUAUGUGUGCGGAAUUUCAACACAUGAUUUUUGUGUGAUAAAAGUGUAAGAAUGUAUUUUGUUGUAAAUAUUUUUGUUGAUUUUAAAUUUCCAGCUUUUUCAAAAAAUGUUUAUUUCUAACGGAAUUUUACAGUUCAAAUACUUGGACAUUCCAAGAAUGUGUGUUUUUGACCUCCGUUAUUUAAACGUUAAUUUGUUCACACAAAAAGUGAACCGAGAUCAAAAGUACGUACACAUAAAUGCUAUUCUACCACUCACUACAACGCUGCAUGUGAAGUACAUGCAUAUAUUUGUUUACCGUUCGUAACUUAACAAAGUUCAUUAGUUAUAAAUAUAAUAUUUCAGCCAUGGAUAUCCGUUUGCUUUAUAUUAAAGAUUAGACUGUUCAAAUGACCAAAGUGCCGUAAAGUGCUUGGAGGUACGCAAUAAUAUGGAGCCAUAUAAUAUGCACAAAGUUCCACUUUAAUUCCCAAACAUGAUCAAUCAAUGUUAGUAUCUUAAGUAAUGUUUAAUUCUAAUGCAAGCAUCUGACAAUCUGAUACCCUUGCAAGGUAAAUUACCAGAUACUUUAUGGCAACUUUGCAAACUAGGUGUCAAAAAUUCAGAAUUUCCAAUUUAUUCCAACAUUGCAUAACAAAUAUAAUUCCGCAAUGAUAACAUUUGCUGGCUUAACAUUUCAAAAAAUUUCGUAUUCACUAUGCUUGCAAUUACAGCCUUUAAAUAUGAAGCUUAAAUAUGUUCAACCUGUUAAGAUGCUGCUCAUAGUUUGAGAUAUAUAUUUUUUACGAAUUCUUAUUAACAAUGUAAUUAUCAAUAUAUGCCCUGUCAAUUGAACAUUUUUAUGAAACUGUUAAGUGCCACCGAAGGCCUACAAAGCUAAUGUUGUAUUUCGAUAUUUAUAUGCAAGACAGAUUAGAACUGCAAGGCCCGCUUGUCCGGUUUACAAUUGAGUAUUUUCAUCAUUUCGCUGCGCCACAGAUUCGCUGUUUUUGUUUUUCUUAUAUAUUGAACAAGUUAGUUAUUAAAAAUUUGUCAAAUCGAAUAUAUAUUCUCGUUUAAAUUAUGUUUAAGUGAAUUGCGACGCUAUAUGCGGUCAU
Molecule: long non-coding RNA, 1366 nt
Organism: Dreissena polymorpha
Lineage: Eukaryota; Metazoa; Mollusca; Bivalvia; Myida; Dreissenidae
Exons: 4
Source: RefSeq, a predicted model, not a curated record